GCGGGUAUAGCUCAGAUGGUAGAGCACCAGAUUGUGGCUCUGGUUGUCGCGGGUUCGAUCCCCGUUGCUCGCC
This 73-nucleotide transfer RNA is filed under the name Ignavibacteria bacterium. RNAcentral describes it as "tRNA-His". It matches the Rfam family "tRNA". Rfam says of the family: Transfer RNA (tRNA) molecules are approximately 80 nucleotides in length. Their secondary structure includes four short double-helical elements and three loops (D, anti-codon, and T loops). Lineage: Bacteria; Pseudomonadati; Ignavibacteriota; Ignavibacteria. The record is from RNAcentral.